Molecule: non-coding RNA, 1202 nt
Organism: Lactuca sativa (garden lettuce)
Lineage: Eukaryota; Viridiplantae; Streptophyta; Magnoliopsida; Asterales; Asteraceae
Source: RefSeq, a predicted model, not a curated record
UGGUUUUCGUUUUAUUUCUUAGUUUCAAAGAGGAACAUAUUUGUGAUCUUCACCGGUCCACAAUGGUGGUUCCUGGGAAUGGGUUCACCAAAAACCCCAAAACAAACCUCGCAUCGUCGUCUGUUUCGCAAGCCUUCACCAUCGAAAUCCGGAUAUUUUCAGCCACAUUUAAAAAUCGAUUCUUGAUCAGUAUCGUAAGCAAUGAUGCAAAAGACUCAACACUGGGUCUAAAAUUAGUUCUUUGACAAAGUAUUGAAUAAAGAAAGAGCUGCCUGUGGCUUCUAGUUACGGUUCGAAGAAUCUUUCAAUCGGGCCCCUCACUAUUUCAAGAAAAUGUGUACUCUUUAACAUCUAUCGAUCUUGCUGCUUGCUUGUCCAACAAAUUCAUCAAUUCUACUCUUUAUCCAACCAGAAUUUGUUCCACCUGCGCAUCAGGUGUUUGAUGAAAUGCACCAGUGAACUUUUGUCUCAAAAUUGCUUAAAUAGCGUAGGUUGUUAUCGAGAAAGGGUGUUAUCACUCAAAAAGUGAAUUUACGCUUUGUUCCCUUGGUCCACGUGUAACUUGUUCAGAUUCUCCAUCUGUAUGACUUUUCACAAUGGCUUUUUUUAUCUUGCACAAGUAUUACAUGUCACUCCUUCAUCAUUUUGAACAAGUUUACUACUUUGAAGCAAAAGCAUGGACUCCUAUUCAAUGUCCAAAAUGAACAAAGUCAUGCUCCCUGAAAAUCAAGUCACAUUAGGGAAGAGGUUUACCAGGCAGGAACUACAAAACCGAAAUGGAGCAUUAUAGAAAUAAUUUCAGAAGAUAGCCACUCAUUAACAAUGCAGUAAUGCCAUUUCAGCAAACAUUAUUUCACAAAUAUGAUGUUGGAUGACAACCCAAAAAUGAUGGUGAAAAUUCUCAUCAAACUCCUGAAAACAAACUGAAUAAAGGGUAUUCUGACAAUUAAAAGAGCGGUAGUGAAGCUGAAGAGGGUACUAAAGAUAAGAAUUUAAAUCUUAUAAUGGAAGCAGUUGAAAUGGGAGCUGAAAAUUAUGACAUUGAAAGGAAGCCAAACUAUAGUUCUAGAUUUUAUCAAGUUUAGCUUUCCUCAACAAUGUUGCUUUUAGAGAUUUUAGUUUACCUUUUAUGUUUUUAUUUCUAAGGUUUUGUUGGUAAUAUGUUUGGUAAAAGUAGUGUGUUUGUAAUACUACUUUCUUGA